AGCGUAGCUGAACAUCUUACGGAUGGCCCAGGGCUCCAAAGGCUCGUUUCCUAAGUGAGAGAGAGCCUGGCUGAAGCUGUAUUACCAUUCAUUCUCCAGCCUCCGAAGUCUCAAAGCAUCACUUCCACCAUACUCUAACUGUCAAGACAAACACAAAGGCCCAGACAUUACAUGUAAAUGGAAUCAUACAAUAUGUGAUCUUUUGUGACUGGCUUCUUUCACUUAGCAUAACGUUUUCAAGGUUUGUUCGUGUUGUAGCAGAAACUGCCAGACUGUCUUCUGAAGUGGCUAUAAUAUUUACACUCCCAUCAGCAGUGUAGAAGGGGUCUCACUAUGUUGUCUGGAGUGCUGUGGUGGAGUGGAGUGGCUAUUCACAGCUGAGUUUGCAGAGUAAACCACUACCCUGAAAUCUGGAAAGGCAGGUGCACCCACAGAUCCUCAGCUGAGAUCCAAUUACCUGAAAUAGAAGCUGCCAUUAGGAACACUUAAAAGAGCCUGUUCUGCUGGGACACAGAAUCACUUGCUCCAUCUCAUACAUUGAUGAUGAUUAAUUUGUAUGUGUACCUUCCAAAAAAGAUGGUUGUGUUUGAAUGGAGGCCUUCUGGACAGGAAAAUAUGGAGAGUGCGUGCUUUGGAUUCAAGACUGGGAAUGAGGGGACCAGAAACCUAUUCUGUGGCUGUUUCUUGUUAGGACUUUCCUAAGCCUCUGGAAAAGUGCAAAGUACAAUUAACAUUUGAGUCUGUCUGAGUCAUGAAGAAAUGGAGAUUACUGAAAAUAAUUCAUUUUGGUAUCUUCUUACAUCCUGAGAGACUAAUCUUUCCAAGUUCAUCUGAGGCUCCUCUUCUCCAUGACAACCUCAUCCAGGGAUUUCUUCCUGUCCUGGUGUUUUAUGACAUGUGGAAGGGGACUGUAGCAGGUGAUCUCCAAAGUCUCUGGAGACUUACUAAUGUGCAUCCUCAUCUCGCUUGUAAGGAUAAUAGCCUUCCUCCAAACCUCACACACUUUUGGAGGAGAUCACUUUUUUUAAAGUGCAUGGAAAUGUUUUGAAACAGUGAAAUCUAUAAUGAUAGGUUUCAUAAUUCUAACAUCCACACCAUAUGAAUCACAUCCUUCCUGAGAUAAUGAGCACACAAUUGCCUGGAUACCUGAAGGAAUGGAGACAGCGGCAGAAAACACUGCAGAGAGGUGGAAACAUCCGUUAAUAUUUUAAAAUCCCAUUACUGCUACCAACAAUAAUAAUGGAUGCAUAGAAAUAGAUCUGGAUUAGCUGAGCUUGAAACAGUCCAUCUCACACACACACAAAAGAAUUUCAGAUACAGUGAACCCACAUGUUGAAGCUUUCUAGUAUAAUAAAAAUUUCAACUGUUCUGUUGAAUCAUCUGCCUGAUUGGAGGCUACAGAAAAGAUGUCAUCUUAGGAGUGCUUGCUCUGAGUGAGGCUCAUCUUCAAAUCUGAAUGACCACAAGGAGAUUUGAUUAUACAUGUGAACACCUCAGAAGGCACAGCCCACCCAGAAGGCAGACAGGUCAGGCUGCUUUUUCUUCAUUGCUUGGAUUCAAUCCUCCGGGCGGCUCAGGCUCAAACAUAACUUAAGCAUGAUUAAACUUUAGAAGAAGCUGCCAGGAAGACUGUGAAAUCUUCAUGCCCAAGGAUCCCUAAAAUUAGGAGCAACAACCACUUGGCUCAGACGGUUUAUGGAGGCAAAGGUUUGGAUGGGAUUAGAGAUUUCUAAAUGUGAGUUCGUGUCCUCUGCCAGACCACCUUACUUCCACCAUUCCUCAGCAAAUCAAGAAAAACAGGAGAAAAGACAUGCCUUUCCAUAAGUUAAAUCUAUUCUGUUUUAAUUCUAUAUUAUAUCUGCUGUACAACUUCUUUUGUUUGUAACACCAUAUUGUUGCUAGUAACUGGAAAUUAAUUUUCACAUGCCUCAGCUUAGAAAAAUAAAAA
Long non-coding RNA from Homo sapiens (human), 1948 nucleotides. Ensembl annotates it as long intergenic non-protein coding RNA 635. NCBI's taxonomy places the organism in Eukaryota, Metazoa, Chordata, Mammalia, Primates, Hominidae. The record is from Ensembl.